Saccostrea echinata is the source of this 302-nucleotide long non-coding RNA. RefSeq lists it as uncharacterized. The transcript has 3 exons. The record is from RefSeq and is a predicted model, not a curated record. NCBI's taxonomy places the organism in Eukaryota, Metazoa, Mollusca, Bivalvia, Ostreida, Ostreidae.
GAGAGUCAGUUGGAUAUAUUUCUGGAAUGCAAUAUAUCUGCUACAGCUUCCAUGGGCAAACUGUGUCUUGCUGACGAUGACUGCGACACAGAAAACGCGGUUUGUAGUAUGAGGGAAGAUUAUGGACGCUGUGUAUGCAAAGAAGGGCACCGUGUUGACGGUAGUCGUCGAAAAUGCAUCAAAGUAAAUGUUUUUCUUGGGGGACAGUGCGAGAAAAAUGAAAACUGUGGACAAAUGAAUACACGGUGCCACAAUAAUAGAUGCACAUGUGCAGAUGGAUAUUUUGAAUCUAAUGGAUUUUG